This 427-nucleotide ribosomal RNA is filed under the name uncultured bacterium. Its description in RNAcentral is "bacterial SSU rRNA". It matches the Rfam family "Bacterial small subunit ribosomal RNA", at positions 355 to 774 of the family's 1533-position model. The record is from RNAcentral.
UAGGGAAUAUUGGACAAUGGGGGCAACCCUGAUCCAGCCAUGCCGCGUGAGUGAAGAAGGCCCUCGGGUUGUAAAACUCUUUUGUCCGGAAAGAAAAGCUUCGGGUUAAUACCCCGGGGUUCUGACGGUACCGGAAGAAUAAGCACCGGCUAACUUCGUGCCAGCAGCCGCGGUAAUACGAAGGGUGCAAGCGUUACUCGGAAUUACUGGGCGUAAAGCGUGCGUAGGUGGUUGUUUAAGUCUGAUGUGAAAGCCCUGGGCUCAACCUGGGAAUGGCAUUGGAAACUGCGGAGCUUGAGGUAGGGAGAGGAAUGCGGAAUUCCCGGUGUAGUGGUGGAAUGCGUAGAUAUCGGGAGGAACACCUGUGGCGAAAGCGACCGCCUGGACCAGCACUGACACUGAGGCACGAAAGCGUGGGGAGCAAACA